AUUACGAAUUUGUCAUUCGUAAGCGAAGGUAAUGCAAUAAAAAUUUUGCUGUGCGCGCUACUCAACAACUCGUUCUACUCGUCUCGGUCGCGUCGCGUUGCGUUGCCAUUGCCACUGUCGCACGUUCGUGGCAUGUGUUUCGUUCGUUCGUUUGACUUGCUAGUGUAAGCAAUUUGGUUAUUCGGUUCAUGUUGUGAGUAAUCGUUGUUAGGCACGGUGUUGUAGCAAUGCAUUGAGUAUUGUGUGUGUGUGUUUGCGCGUUGAUAUUGUUGUGCUGUGUUUGCCGUCGCCAAUAGGCGGCAUUUGUCAAGUGAGCGGUGUCGGCAACAGCAACUGACAAAUGUGUCAUAAAUAACGCUCAAAAACACAAAACUUAUAAGUUUAACACACACGCGCAAAAAAAUAACUCAAAUUAAUUUGUGUGCUGUGAAGUGAUAUCGAAAAACAAUAAAUUGAAAUACAAAAAAAAAACUCGUUUAAAGGUUUGCAACGCGCGUCCCCAAAAGUAUAACAAAUUAAAUUAACACCAAAAAGUUGGAAAAUUGUUAAAUAACGGUUAAAAAGAAAAGCAAACAUAGCUACAGUGUUGCAUGUGACAAAGCAUGGAUUCUAACGCCACUGAUGCACAAUCGAUCACAAGUGAACACAGUGUUGCCUCGUCUACCUCCUCCGCGCUGCAUGGCGCCGUAUUAGCGGCUGUUAAGCGCGAACGUUCACCGACACCGGUUUCCAACAGCAAAACAAUGAACACCAUUUCAGUGGCCACCAAUCUUACAAACAAUAAUCAUAAUAGUAAUAACAAUAACAACAGCAAUAAUAAUAACAAUAGUCCACGUCACAACAAGCUGAGUCCCAGUUAUCAUCACAAUAAUAAUAAUAACAACAGCAUACUGUUGGCGCACAGCAUGAAUCCGACAGCGCUGCUAAUGCAUCAUCAGCAACAGCAGCAGCAACAACAACAACAGCAACAUCAACAACAACAACACCAGCACCAGCAGCAGCUGAACGGUUCACGUGAUGGCAAUAGCAGUCGCGGCGGCAGCGGUCCCGGCGGCAGUGGCGCUGGCUCGCUAAGCGGUAGCAUAGGCGACGAUCGUCCCUCUAACGGCCGCCUCUCGCAUACCGGUCGCGGUUCAAGUUGCUCACCGGCCAGUUCACCAACACGCCAUCCCAACGCCGUUAGUCCGGUGACAUCGCUCAAUCAUACGAUGAUGCAACAAAUGCAACAACAACACCAUCAACUUAGUCCACCGCCACAUGUGACGGGCGUGCCUACAUCGAAUGGCCUGCCCGCUGGCUUACCACCACGCAUGCCGCACGGUUUGCCACCACAUUCGCUCGGCUUGCUCAACUCACUGCAAAUGAUGCAUCAUGCCUCGCCGCUGGAGCUGAUGGCGGCCGCACAUCAUCAUGUACCGCCGCGCUCCUACAAUAGUCCGCCACCGAUUUCCACAUCGGAUCCCAGCGCUAACGAAUGCAAACUGGUCGAAUAUCGUGGCCAGAAAGUGGCCGCUUUCAUUAUCAGCGGCGAUACGAUGUUGUGUUUGCCACAAGCUUUCGAAUUAUUCCUCAAACACUUGGUGGGCGGUCUGCAUACGGUCUAUACGAAACUGAAGCGUCUAGAUAUUGUACCGUUAGUGUGCAAUGUAGAGCAAGUGCGUAUAUUACGCGGUCUCGGCGCCAUACAACCGGGUGUUAAUCGGUGUAAGCUGCUCGCCUGCAAGGACUUCGACAUUCUCUACAGGGACUGUACGACUGCCAGAUGCUUAUCGAUCAAGCCACCUGAGAGUAACUCUCUGCAAUUCCGCAGUUCCAGACCGGGUCGACCGCCAAAACGUGGCCCCGUCGGUUUGUCGCUGCCGCCUACACACCUGUCGCAACAUCCGCAGUUAAAGAAACAUCGACUGGAUAAUGGUGACUACGCAUACGAGAAUGGCCAUAUUGCUGAUUUAAAUCGCUUGGAAAAAUCACCACUACUCGCCAAUGGCUAUAAUCCCCCGCCCAUCAAUCAUAUGGCUUUCAUGCAAAUGAAUCACCAUCCCGGUACGGCAUUAAUGUCACCCGGCAUGCCGCCACAUGGCUUACACGCUCGUCCCGACAGUCAAAUGCUGAAAGCCGCCGCUCAAGGCGGUAUGUCCGCGGCGAAUAUGGACGCGUUGGCGCGUUCCGGCAUUUGGGAGAAUUGUCGAGCAGCUUAUGAGGAUAUUGUUAAACAUUUGGAACGCUUACGCGAAGAGCGCACUGAUGAACGCCAGCAAAUGAAUAGCGGCGGCGGCGUUGGCAAUGAGCCGAAGAUACGCGAUUUAAGCUCACGAAAUUCUGGUUCGCCGAAUCGUCAAAGUCCCGUACUGAAUCUAUCCAAAUCCGGCGGCAAUACCGAUCAAGGCAGCAAUUGUGAUGACCGCAGUGAACGCAGCGAAAUGCAUUCGCCAGUACAUUCGGUGCGCGAUGGCAGCGUCGGUGGCGGCAGUCAGGGUGUGAUUGGCGUGGAGGACGACGAUGACGAGAAUCUGAGUGAUGAUAAUGCGUCAGAAGUCGAUGAACGCUGCGCCAAAGAUGAGGAAGACUUAAGUGAUACCGAACGUGAUAAUAUAACGUCGUCGGCGGCGUCACAACGUCAUCAUCCACUGCAUCAUCACCACCAUCAGCUGCAUCAUGGCGCCAACAGCAAUGCCAUGGGCGUGGGCGAACGUGGCAGUGUAGCGGGCGGACCAGGCGCCGGUGUUGGUGUAGGUGUCGGUGUUGGCGGCCUUGGUGUUGCCGCUGCCGCCACUGUCGCUGGUCUCAAUGAACGCGACGUACUUAGCACGCAUGCGGCGCUACAACAAUCACCCGUCUCGACACACAAUGCUGCUGCCGUCGCAGCGUUGCAACAACAUCAUCAGCGUGCGCUCAACUAUUCACAUUUAGCGGCGGCAGCUGCCGUUGCUGGCGGUGCAGCUGGUGGGCCCGGUGCGAAUGCUGCCCUCACCAAUGGACCCGGCUCGGGUGGUGCGCUUGCCGGCACAGAAGCUCUAUUGGCAGCCAAUGAUGCCACGGCCGCGGCCGCUUUGGCCGGUGGGCUAGCGCUCGGUCCACUCGCUAUGGAUCCGCAUGGUGUGCCAUCGUCAACGGAGACGUUGCUGCGGAAUAUACAGAGUUUAUUGAAAGUGGCUGCGGACAAUGCACGACAGCAGGAGCGACAAAUCAGCUAUGAAAAAGCGGAGCUCAAAAUGGAUGUUUUGCGCGAACGCGAAGUCAAAGAUUCAUUAGAUCGGCAAUUAGCUGAUGAAAGGAAACUUAGAGUUUUGUAUCAGAAACGCUACCGUCGCGAGCGUAAAAUGCGCAUACGCUACCAACAGCAGCUGGACGGUGGCAAACGAAAAUUGACACACCCAUCAAAUGCGGGUGGCAGCAGUGUUGGCAGUGGCAAUAAUGUCGGUGCCGUCGGGCCUAAUGGCAAUGAGGAGGGACGCAGUAGUGUGACCGGUGAAUGCAAAAAUAAUAGCGGCGAAGCAGCGACACGUAAAACAGAACCAGCCUCUCCCUGUGCUCUCAAUCUCGCCCCUUAGAUAACGAUUGCAAAUCGAGCGAAAAGUCUGAGAAGUCGUUGAAUUCCAAUGAUGGCUGUUCGCAAUCCCAAAAUGCACAACAACAACAACAACAAUCACAGCAACCGCUGUUACAACAACAUCACCAAUCACAAUCCCAAUCAUUGUCACAUCAUCAUCUACAACAACAACAACCACUUCACUUGAGGCAACGUUCGGAAAGUCCCAGUUUUAAACGUGAACCACACUCGGAUCGUGAUAGUCCGCUCGGUCGUCGUAGUGUCGAUCAUUUGGAGCGUUGCGAUCGUGAUCAUGCCGAACGUGAGUCACGUGAACAUUGCGAACGCUCAGAACGUGAUUGUGGCGACGCGUCUGGCAUUGAGCGUUCACUUAGUAUGCCACCCACUUCACAAGCGGAGAGCAGUUUGGCGGCGGCGGCAGCAGCAGCUGCUGCAGCGGCUGCAGCCAGUGGUGGCAAGGCACCAUGGAACUAUCCGGGCAUAGAUUUAAUGGCCACAGGCGCCUUUUGGCAGAACUAUUCCGAAUCCUUGGCGCAAGAAAUCGAAUUGGAGCGCAAAUCUCGCGCAGCCAAUGCCGAACGUGAUGUGAAGAGUCCAAUAACUGAGCGUCCACCAGCGUACUACAAGAAUUCGAUGCUCUUCGGCGGCGCAAACUAAAGAGUAAACUGAAAUCCUUUAAGCUUGCGUAACAGAGUGAGUAUUCCAAAGGCGAUGUAAGGGAGAAUACAUACAUAAAUACAGGUGUGGGUGAUUUACCGACGGCCACCACUGUUAUUUCGUUCAUUAUACAAAGCAGUGAAAAUCGCAGAAAGCGAGAGUGAAUUAUAAAAAUUGAUAAGGAUGAGAGAAUAUUAGUUAUAUUGCAGUAAUGAUCUCAAAAGGCAAUCACGAAAAUGAUGAAAAUGCAAGCGAGAGUGCAAGUGGAGCAAAAUUAUAACAGCACAAUCUGUUCUAUGAAAGUAGAGAACAAUAACAGUAAAAAGUGACUGCUUUGGAAAUCACGUAACAGUAAUUAGUAUACGAUAGAGAGAGCGCAGGCAGAAAGGCGUAGAAAUCAUAAAAAAUAUAUGUGAAUAAGAAAAAUUAUAGGAAUUUUAAAAAAGCAUUUACGAGUAGAGCAAAUAGCAGUACUUACUAAACUAGUUACCAGUGGAACGUAGGUGAGCGAGUAUUUACGUACAUAUAUAAUAGUGUAUAUAGACAAAAGCCAAUAGGUGGCAACGUUUUUUUAAAUAAGUAUGUAGAUAUUUAUUCGUAAAUUUGCGAAAAUUAAUUUAACAAAUAAAGCUUAGCGAAUUCUUUCUGCGGUUCAUAAAAAUACUUACAUAAGUACUACUUGGAAAUACGAAAGUAAUGAAAAUAUACUAAAAAGUAACUGGUAGCCAUAGAUAUAUAAGUGCUUAUGUAUACAUACAUAUAUACUCGUAUGUAUGUAUAUUACAUAUGUAAUACAUAAAGUAUGUUUAUUUAGACGUUUUUGAAAAGCGUGCUAAAUUAAGAUAAAUGUUCACACACACAUACACACAUAUGUUUGUGCAAUCAUAUGUAUAUUUAAUUAGGUAAUUAGUUUCUUAAGCCAGUAAGUACAGCUGUUUCGCAAUGAAAUAUGUAGUAGGUUAAAUUUUAAAAAUUUUAAAAUUAUUAUAGAAAUUAUGAGUUCGCGUUACAUACAUACAUACUUACGUACACACAUAGCAUAUAUAGCAUAACUGAUGCUUGCAUAAAGGCAGCCAGCGCUGUUUACAAAGCUUCCUUGAAAUUUAAUGGCUUGUAUGUAGAUAUAACUGUUAGUUGCGUAAGCCAGUUAGACAUAGCUGUGUGUAGGCCUAUAGCCUAUAUAUAUAGAUAUAUAUAUAUAUACCAAUAACUAUUGUAAGUAGUUCAGUAAUUGUUUAAAACUUAAAAGCUGCUUCAGAACCAAAAUAUUGUAAAUACGAGUAACUUGAUAAAACUGACACUAUUUGCAUAUAAUUUUUUUCGCGUUAAAUUUAUUAUUACAACUAACUACAAGGCAAGAGAAGGUCGAGUGGGUGGAAAUUGCUAUACAUGCAUAAAAAUAAAUGAUUAUUAAACAUUUGGGAGCACGGAUGGAAAUAAUUAAAUAAAUUUAAAAAUCUGUAUUUGAUUUUAAAUAAUUUUUUUUUGAUUAAUUAAUAUUUAAACAUUUUUUAAUGCAUAAAAAAAUUUAAUAUUUACUAGUUUUAUAUUUUAAUACUAUUUUUUUUUUAAAUUUUUUGUUUAUUUUUUUUAUAUAUAAAUUUUUUUUUAAAUUUUUUAUAAUAAUAUUAUUUAAAUGUUUUUGUUUAGAUUUAAUAAACUUUUUUUUUAAUUUUUUUUAGAUUUUUUUAAAUUUGGUUAAUAAUUUUUUGAUAAUUCCAAAUUUUAAACAUCUGUCAACCGUUGAAAGACACGUCUAGCUCAGUCAUCCUAAAGGAUGAGUACUGUUAUAGUCUACGUAACGGCACUCCAUCUGGCAAUGCUAAGGACCAAAACUGGUCUAUGCGUUGCUCAUGUGCCUACCAGUCUAACCUAACCUAACCUAUUUCUAAAUUUAUUAUGUGUCAUAACCUUUGGUCAUCAGCAUCAAGAGAAAAAGUCCCACGUGAUCUUUAAAAAAAUUAUUAGCCGCAGUUUUUUGCAAAACCGAAUUCAACGACCAAAUCAUUCACCAUAGACAAGAACAGGUAGUAAUCACUUAGUGACGGUGAUUGCUUUCUUCAGAUGAUCUCAAUUCUUGACAGUACGGGUCUCCCGUAGGGAUGCAGUUCAUAGGAGAUAUUUCCUUGCCGAUCGUACCAAACUCAUAGCAAAACCUUUCUAACUAUAAAUCCUAGUUUUACCACGGUUUGCUCCGGGUUAACGCCAUUCGGCUACGACCGCAUCCGCUUGACGUGUUUUUUCACAUAUAUGUUAUACUCUAUCGACUUGAAGGGAGCACAAAAUUGAAAUUACUUCUUGCAUUUGGUUAAAAGUUGCUCAAAAAAUGAUUUGGACCUCAUUUCAAAGUGCUGAGAAUUACAAAAAUUUCACUUAAAUGAAAACAGGAAACAAAGAAAAGGAACAGUAACAAAACUCGAAAGUCUUUUGAUUAUUUUAAAUUUUUUUAAAAUUUUUUACUUCUUCAAAAACAUAUGCCUUUUUAAUUUCCUUUAAUUUCAACAUCAAAUAUUACAUUAGCGGAGGAGUAAUUGCUCUUGAAAUCGAUUUAUAGUAAUGAUAAUUAAUUGCAAGGUAGUUCAAGUAGUUGAUAAAGUAAUCAGAAAAAAAAAAUGAAAAACAAAAUUUAUUUAUUUAUAAUAGUAAAAAGUCUCAAAAUGUUAAAAAAAAAAUUAUGGAAUUUCCAAAAAACUGUAUUGUUUAAAAAUUCUAAAUUAACUGAUUAUAAAAAUAUUAGUUUUUUCAAAGCCAGUGAUUUGCGAAAUUUGUAUAUAAAUAUAUCUGAAAGCAGCUCCCAGUUACGAAACCACAUUUGCUUGCGAAUAAAUUAAUACAUUUACAAAAUAUAGUUUCAAACUGUAUUAAAAAAAAUUAAAAAAUUUAAAAAAAUUAACUAACGAUUGUGUAAGUAACAGUAUUUAAUGAAAAUGAUUCAUAAAUUUAUUAUUAAAAAAAUAUGCAAAUCUUAAAUUAAUUUUAAAAAUUAUAUUUCCAAUAAUAAAUAUUGAAAAAUUAGACACGUUAAGCGCAUUAAAAUAUUUGAGUAAAACAAUGUUAGUUAUUAAUUAAAUUAUAUAUAUAUAUAUAUAUAUAUAGCUAUGUACUUAGUAAGCGUUUAAGUAAAAAAAAAAAUUGAAAAACUAAUAAUUAACAGCAAACUGAUUGCAUUCACAAUAAUUAAAUACAAUUAAAGAUCAUAAAAUAUUGCAUAAAUAGUAACUUCAAAACACAUACACACACACACAAUGCAAACUUGAUACAUUGCAACAAUUAAUAACUAUAAAUAAAUACCUUAAAACAUUCAGUAAAUUACAUAAAUACAUAGCUUACUUACAAACAUACAUAUAUAUACAAUACUAUACAUACAUAUAAACAUACAUAGUUACCCAUUUGAUUGCUUCGCAUUUAAAUGCAAAAUAAAUUAAAAAAAAGAAAACGCAAAUAAAACGAACACAAAAAAUAUUAAACUAUUAUUAAACAAUGCUACAGUAAAAAUAAAUUAUUAUUACUAUUAUU
Non-coding RNA from Bactrocera oleae (olive fruit fly), 7723 nucleotides. Lineage: Eukaryota; Metazoa; Arthropoda; Insecta; Diptera; Tephritidae. The record is from RefSeq and is a predicted model, not a curated record.